RNAcentral lists this ribosomal RNA (462 nucleotides) under Blastocystis hominis. Its description in RNAcentral is "bacterial SSU rRNA". It matches the Rfam family "Eukaryotic small subunit ribosomal RNA", at positions 470 to 941 of the family's 1831-position model. The record is from RNAcentral. Lineage: Eukaryota; Bigyra; Opalinata; Blastocystidae.
ACAAUAAAUCACAAUGCGGGACUGUUAGUCUUGCAAUUGGAUUGAGAACAACGUACAACUCUUAUCGAUAAGCCAUUGGAGGGCAAGUCUGGUGCCAGCAGCCGCGGUAAUUCCAGCUCCAAUAGCGUAUAUUAACGUUGUUGCAGUUAAAAAGCUCGUAGUUGAAGUGAGGGAGUGUGUGGGUAUGAGAGCUAGUCUCAAGUACUUACAACCUCCCCCCUCCAAUCGGUGUAGUGGGGUAUUCAGUUCAGUUAUUCUACUACUCCUUUGGUCGUUUACUGUGAGAAAAUUAGAGUGUUCAAAGCGGGCGUUUGUUUGAAUAGAUUAGCAUGGAAUAAUGAUUGAAGGCUUUCGUGUUCGAUUUGAUUGGUUUGUUCAUGGAAGCAAGGUUAAAAGGAACAGUUGGGGGUAUUCAUAUUCACUAGUUAGAGGUGAAAUUCUCGGAUUUAUGGAAGAUGAACA